AUGGCCGUGGGUGGUCCCUCACUUGCUCUCCUCCUCUCUUUUGCUACCCCCUGGGAUGUAGGGAGCCAGGGCACCCAGCCGGAAUGGCAUGAUCCUGAAGCCCAACUUCCACAAGGACUGGCAGUGGUGCGGCCAUGUGGCUCAGCCAGCCCAUGGGGCAGAUCUGCAGAAGCAAGGUAGCCAGCAAAAGCAGGCUGCAUGGCUCACUCGUAUGGGCCCAUCCACCCAUAGUAAGGUGCCCCAUGCUGAGGCAUCACUACAAAGCACGAGCUGGCAGGGGCCUCAGCUUGGAGGAGUUAAGGGUGGCUGGCAUUCAUAAGAAGGUGGCCCAGACCAUUGGCAUCUCUGAGGACACAAGGAGGAGGAACCAGUCCACCGAGGCCCUGCAGGCCAAGGUGCAGAGGCUGAAGGAAUACCGCUCCUCGCUCAUCCUCUUCCCCAGGAAGCCCUUGGCCCCCAAGAAGGAAUACAGUUCUGCUGAAGAACUCGAACUGGAUACUCAGCUGACAGGACCAGAAGUGCCCAUCGGCAAUGUCUACAAGAAGGAGAAAGCCAGAGUCAUCACUGACUAGGAGGAAAACUUCAAGGCCUUGUUAGUCUCUGUAUGGCCCAUGCAAAUGCCCAGCUCUUCGGCAUAUAGGCACAAAGAACCAAGGAAGCUGUAGAAGAGGAUGUUUUUAAAAAAAAACGGGUAGGCUCGAGCCGCUGCAUCAGCUCCGUGCUGGGUCUCUCGGUCCCGCAGCCAUGAGGAGGACGCUCCCCAGACUCACUACCCGCCGGCUCCCUCCCCCGCGUCCCUGCGGUGGUGGGCCAAGAUGACCUGUUGUGCAUCAGAUGCCUUUGAGACAUACAACUGGAGAUGUGAGAUAGGAAAUUGAAUGUAAAGACUGGAAGCUUGGAAGAGCAGAACUCUGAACAACGUGCCUCAGGAGUGCAAGCUGCUGAUGAAGUAUGUCGCAUUUUUUAUGACAUGAGAAUUCGUAAAUGCCCCACACCAGAAGAAAUCAAGAAAAGAAGAAAGGCUGUCAUUUUUUUUUGUCUCAGUGCAGACAAAAGUGCAUCAUGUAGAAGGCAAAGAGAUCUUGGUUGGAGAUGCUGGUAUAACAGCCUUUCAAGCAUUUUGUGGGAAUGCUUCCUGAAAAAGAUUGUCGCUAUGCUUUGUAUGAUGCAAGCUUUGAAACAAAAGAAUCCAGAAGAAUUGAUGUUUUCUUGUGGGCACCAGAACUAGCACCUCUGAAAAGUAAAAUGAUCUAUACAAGCUCCAAGGAUGCAAUCAAAAAGAAAUUUCAAGGCAUAAAACAUGAAUGGUAAACAAAUGGACCAGAAGAUCUCAAUCGGGCUUGUAUUGCUGAAAAGUUAGGUGGAUCCUUUUUUUUGAGAUGGAGUCUUGAUCUGUCGCCCAGGCUGGAGUGCAGUGAUGGGAUCUCAGCUCACUGCAACCUCCGCCUCCCGGGUUCAAGCGAUUUUCCUGCCUCAGCCUCCUGAGUAGCUGGGAAUAUAGGCGUGCGCCACCACACCUGGCUAAUUUUUGUAUUUUUAGUAGAGUCAGAGUUUCACCAUAUUGGUCAGGCUGGUCUCGAACUCCUGACCUUGUGAUUCGCCCUCCUUGGCCUCCCAAAGUACUGGGAUUACAGGCGUGAGCCACUACACCUGGCCAGUGGAUCAUUAAUUGCAGCCUUUGAAGGAUGCCCUGUGUAGAUCAUCAUUCAGUGCCACAAAUUGAAAGCUUCCAGGUUUAAUGUUAUCCUCUUGCUAUAUAAAUAGAGCAAAUAUAUUUAGGCCAGGGUCUCACUGA
RNA transcript from Nomascus leucogenys (northern white-cheeked gibbon), 1795 nucleotides. It is a transcript of the gene named large ribosomal subunit protein eL13 pseudogene, with no coding region annotated. NCBI's taxonomy places the organism in Eukaryota, Metazoa, Chordata, Mammalia, Primates, Hylobatidae. The record is from RefSeq and is a predicted model, not a curated record.